UACCAGCACCCCGAGUGGUCGGGACGAUUAUUGGGCCUAAAGCAUCCGUAGCCGGUUCUACAAGUCUUCCGUUAAAUCCACCUGCUUAACAGAUGGGCUGCGGAGGAUACUAUAGAGCUAGGAGGCGGGAGAGGCAAGCGGUACUUAGUGGGUAGGGGUAAAAUCCGUUGAUCCAUUGAAGACCACCAGUGGCGAAGGCGGCUUGCCAGAACGCACUCGACGGUGAGGGAUGAAAGCUGGGGGAGCAAACC
Molecule: ribosomal RNA, 251 nt
Filed under: uncultured prokaryote
Description: partial 16S ribosomal RNA
Rfam family: Archaeal small subunit ribosomal RNA
Source: RNAcentral